UGGCCUUUAGUGAAAUGGCAUCAUAAAAGACUCUGAAUCUUUAGGUAUAGGUUCGAUUCCUGUAAGGCCAG
RNAcentral lists this transfer RNA (71 nucleotides) under Bacteroidota bacterium. RNAcentral describes it as "Bacteroidetes bacterium tRNA-Gln". It matches the Rfam family "tRNA". Rfam says of the family: Transfer RNA (tRNA) molecules are approximately 80 nucleotides in length. Their secondary structure includes four short double-helical elements and three loops (D, anti-codon, and T loops). The record is from RNAcentral. Lineage: Bacteria; Pseudomonadati; Bacteroidota.